RNA transcript from Pipra filicauda (Wire-tailed manakin), 5099 nucleotides. It is a transcript of the gene named atherin-like, with no coding region annotated. The record is from RefSeq and is a predicted model, not a curated record. The transcript has 2 exons. Lineage: Eukaryota; Metazoa; Chordata; Aves; Passeriformes; Pipridae.
AGGGGCUAUGCCCCACCGGCGGGGCGGGGGCCAGCCGCGCGUCGCGCUCUGCCCCGCCUUGCCUUGGGCGCGGCGCACUUGGCACAAGCAGCAAUUAAUGGCUUCGGGGAGCGCGGACGGUGCUGGCCGGGGUGGCUCCGAGGCGACGGCAGUCGGGCAGCCCGUUAACGCCGGGGCGGGGGGGCUUCCUUCUUCCCCCCCUCCCUCCCCUGUUGGUUCGGCCCGUCCCGCCCCUCCCGAGCCCGUGACAGGUGGAGCGGCACCCGACGCGUGCGCGCGCCCCCGCCCGCGGCCGUCACGUGGCGCCGCGCGCGCCUCGCGCGAGACUCGCGGCGCGAGGGGUCUCGCGAUGCCUCGGCGGCCCCGGGGCGUGAGGGCGGGGAAGGGCCCGGCCCGGGCUUGGAGCGGCGGGAAAGUCGCGAGGGAGGGAAGGGAAGAGGAAAGCCUGGGAAUUCGGGCUUCUGGGGACGCCUCGCGCGUGAGUAAAGGUCUGGAUUUCUUGGCGCGCCGGAGGGGAAGGGGCUUGGCUUUGCUGCUUUCUUCUUCUUCAUACAGCUGAACGCGACCCCCAGGCCACCCUGUGGCUGGAGCGUUGCCUGGGCAUCAUGGAAUGGCCUGGGUUGGAAGGCAUCUUAAAGAUCAUCCAGUUCCAACCCCCUGCCAUGGGUCCCUUUUCACCAGACCAGAGUGCUCGGAGCUCCGUUCAACGUGGCCCUGAACAAUUCCAGGGAUGUGGCAUCCACAGCUUCUCUGGGCAACCUGUGCCAGUGCAUCACCACCAUCCUCGGAUUCCUUGGGUCCUCGACCCUUCCCAGCUCACCCGGGAAGCCGAGGAAUCAGUUUUCUCCUUACAGUGCCACGCAGCCAGGAGGCUUUAUGGUGUUUUUUUUUUAAGUGAGGUGUUUGUAAAUUGUUUGAUUGCGGCUCUCCUGUGGUGCAUAUGAGAAGGUGAGUCUACUGUGGAGGCACAGCUCAUCCCCCUUUUGCUGGAAAUGGAUCAGAACGUUGUUCCGUAACAAGUCUGUGUUGCUUCUCCAGUGUCAGGCUGAAGCCCCAUGUCUGGACAGGCUUUUCCCAUUGGAAUUUCCUCUUCUAUGAUUGCUAGAUGCUCUAAAGCAAAGGUGAAGCCAUCGAGUGCCUUUGGGAAUUAUGUGAGCAAGGUCAAUGGCCAAACUAUGCAAGGGAUGUUCAGUCACAGUACUGUUGCUCGCUGGGUCUCCUUUAAUUGCUACCCUCAGAUCAUGUGCUCAUUAUGUUGAAGCACUCUUCUGUCUCUGUAGGUGCUAAAUUAACAUUUAUGCACCAGUGAUGUUUUCCAGGUGGAUCCUCACAUUUUUUUCUGGUCCCGAUGGUGCAGGGACACUGACGGGAGUGGAGAUCUGGGCAAGACAAAGUCUUGAAUAAUGCAAACAAAGACUCAAAUUAGGAUGUCCUGGCUCCCCUUAAAACCAAACUAUUGUCGUAUAGCUCUGCUUUCUCUUGGAAGUGCAGGGAGAACAGAAGAGCACCUGGGUUUGCUGAGGUUGCAUAUCUUCAUAAACAAGCAGCCAGUUUGUCAGAGUAUUUGUAUAAGAGUUUGGAGUGCAGAUAAAACCCAAGUUAUUUUUGGUUCUGGAAAUGGGCCGCAGUCUGCUAAUAGUGAAAACAGCUGUGAUCAAACAUCUGCCUUCUUCUGUAUUGUCCAUGGAUUCUCUGUCCUGUGUUUUCUCAGCAGUGUUUCCUCAGGUACCGAGCUUGGCACCAAGGACUUCACUGGCUGGGAACAUGCCAAAAAUAAGCUGAAAACAACUCCUGAAGUCACUGCCAGAAGAAGCUGAUUUGGAAGGAAGACUCUGCUCCAACAGUGGGAUUCAAGCUCUCAUCUUAAUGAUGUCCAAGGUAGUUGUGAUAUCUCAAGCAUUUGGGUUCACUGACAAAUAGGACGAGCCUGAGCACAUAUAUAGGGACACAAUCCCAGGAAAAGAACUUUGUGUAGCACGGAACAGGGAAAGGAUGACCUGCUUUCAGGUCUGCUUUUUCUUUGUUCUCUCGUCAGUAUUACAUUUCACUGCCAUCAACUCCAAAAAUCAAAUGUGUAGUUUGCCAUUGUCAACAAGGCAGGUACCACCAACCUGCUUUCUCAAAACCACAUUUUUUCCUGGACAAAUUGGCUUUGUUUUGUAUGUCUCUGUAGCUUUUGCUUUACAAAAGGGCAGAGGUUCAGUGCAACAUUUCUGUGGUCAUACCAAGUGUACUGAAAAGCCAAACAUGCUUCAUGAAGGUUUUCUGCCUUGAGAGGAUGACUGCGAUUCUCUUACUGUCUGACCUCCCCAUCUGGUCCAUUCUCAGAUGCUUGUUUCCAAGAAUAAGGAUUUAGAGAAACUAUUGAUUCUUUAUUAACAUAUUUGGUGUCACUUCAAAGUCAGUAGCAAAUUUGAAGUAGAUGAGUCCCUACUGGAUCCAAUUGAAAUCUUAUGGCAUUCUAUAGUCCAAGACUUACUAGCUAGUCACCUACAGCAAGAUUCAUCAUUUCAGCCCUUAUUAAAACUAAGGGCUUGAAGUUGGGCAUAUCAGUUCCAACUGGGCUUUCAUUCCUGCUUUUUGAAGUUCUUGGCAGCUGUAAGCCAUGAGCUGCUGAGGAGGUGAGGGCAGCAGUCAUCCCCUUCACACAAGAGUCUGAAGCAGCUCAGGAGGCACCUGUGAUCUCUGCUGACGCUGCUGUUCAGAAAGGAUUUUGAGGUGUGCAGUCAACAUCAUGCUCAGAAUGGCUCAGAGGACCUCAGACUCUAAGGCAAAUCCUUUUGCAGUAGCUCAGGAGCAAUGUGACAGGACAACAACCUUGGAUGUGUGGGACACAACUGAAAAACAGCAAAGAAAAGGCAGGCAAACCAAGAGAACUCACAGGGUACCAUUUUGUGUCUUACAAAAGAUAAAUCUAAUGCCUGCAUUUUUACCAUCUUGCCAAAUUUUAGUCAAGUUGCCCAAAAUAUGUGAGUAUCAGCAUAUAAAGGAAAGCAGCUUAAAGUAAUACAACCUGACAAGAGGUCAGUCAGGGAGAAACCAUCCCCUUCAUUUAACCUCCCACUUUUAUUAACACAUUGUUUGUUUCUACAUCUGUUUUCCUCACUGUUCUUUUCUUCAUUUACUCCAAGGUAAAAGCAGAAAAUCUUGAAUUGUUAAACUGUUUUGUUCUUGAAAUUUGGAACAAAAAAGCCCCCAGUACUUCAUUUUUGUAUUUUAGCAGUAGCUCCUGUGUUGUCCAGGAGUUCACAAUAAAAUGAUCUGCAAAUUACAUUUUCUUUGUACUUCCCUCAUUAAAGUUCUGAUGAGUGUGUGUGUGAUCUGUGUUAUAUUUUGACAGUGUAUCGUGGUCAAGAAAGUGGAGGAAACUGAUAUAAAACUCAAGGGGUUUGUUUUGGUUUGAUUUAUUUUUUUUCCCCAAAAUGCACAAAAAGGCAAAUGUUCUUGCUGGCAAUAAGGAAAAUCAGUGCAUUUGUAGAAGAGUUAUUAUUAAAAAUAGAAAAUAUUGGGAAAAAAAGUCAUUCUGAUACUGUUUAUCCUUACAUUGAUGAAAAAAUUGCUCUUCAAUCUCAGAAAUACCUUACUAACUUUGGGUAGUGAGGGGAGUAAAAGUGAACUGAUCUAGGAAAUGUGUUACUAUAAAGAAAAAAGGAUAUUUUUCUUUCAUAAAGCAUUAAAAAACUAGUUAUUACUAAAUGCUUUAGUUAUAGACCUUAAUUAGUAUUGCUCUGUCUUGCUUAAAUCUUGCAGUCAUUUUUGUGUGUUGCCCUCUAUUCCCCUUGGUAAACAUGACUUUUAAAACCUGGAUUGUCUCUGAAAGGCUUAAUGCUGAAAUUCAUCUGGAAUUCCCGUGGUAGUUCAUGGUCAUAAGAAGUGCCCACAGUUACCAGGUAAACGCCAACGUCCAUCACUGUGCAGCAACAUGGAAAACCAUGAAUUCGUAUGCAUGACCCUGACUGUAUUUUGAGCUGCUCAUGAAAUUCAGAAAUCAGGGGGUUUUGGAUAUUCUGUAGAUUUGCUGUGUGAGAGACGUUCUCUGCAUGUCAGCAUGAGCCCACUGACCUGUUUGCUGAAGUGUGACCAACAGAAGAAGAGACUUUUAGAAAAACUACCACUGUAUCAUGCUUUUUGUGCUCUAUAGAUCUGUAAUACCAACAGUCUCUGCAGAGCUGGAGAAAUAAAUAAUACAAAAAAUUAUACUUGUCCAGGAAGUGGUUCCUUUACGCUACUUCUGUUAGUAGAUUUUUAAUUUUAUUUACAGUCCUGCCUGUACCUCCUGCCCCUGGCAGCUCUGAUGGUGUCCAUUCAUGUGUAUUCCAGAUGUGGACUGCUUUCAUUUGUAGGAAUAGUCUUGGAAGGUAAGUAGGUAAGUGUCUGCCCUCCCUCUAGGAACCAGUUGUGUCAACUUGUCACUUGCCACCUUCCGAAGAACUCGCCUGUUUGAGAGAAGAGGAUCACAAACAAGGAUCUCUGCUCUUCCAAAACUGCAGAAAAAGUGGGAUUUCUUGCAUUCGUCACUAUGCAGGAAUUUAAUGUGUCUGUUGAGAAGCUGAAGAUAAAAUGCUGUGUUUAUAUUAACUUCUCUUCAGAUUGACAAUUGUAACUAUAGAACUUGGCCAAUGCUGUCAGGGAGGGGAAAAAAAACCCCAGCUUUGUGUUUCUUUAGUGGUCUUGUAUGUACUGACUUAAAGUAAGUUGCUGAGCUGAUACUUUUGUAGCCAACUGGUUUUCUGGCUUGUAGGUAAAAACAAGUAAAUUGCAUUUGUAAACCAGCUCUGAGCAAAGGAUUUCUGUGUAAGCAUUUGAAAAGAGCCAUUUGUGAUGCUGAGUGAGCUAGGCGAGUGGAUAUCUUGUUAACUUCUGUAAAUCCUGGGACAGAAUGCAGUAUUAUCCAAAAUACAUUAUUAUCUGAUAUUUUUGUUCUCAUGGAGCAGAGGGUGUCACGUGCUCUUACUGGAUUUAAUUUAGCAGUGUCAUAGAAAAAUCUUUUCAAGAAAGUAUCUGAGAAUUAUUUAUUUUAAAAGCCUCAUCCAUUGUGUAUAUUGCUUUUUGUUAAUGUUCUUGUGGGUGUCUGAAAGGAUAAAACCUUCAGUAACCAA